Capsicum annuum is the source of this 1517-nucleotide long non-coding RNA. RefSeq lists it as uncharacterized. The record is from RefSeq and is a predicted model, not a curated record. NCBI's taxonomy places the organism in Eukaryota, Viridiplantae, Streptophyta, Magnoliopsida, Solanales, Solanaceae. The transcript is spliced from 2 exons.
GAAUGCAUGAUGGUUGACAAUGUGUUGGUACUAGUUGGAGAUGUUGUUAGUUGUGAUGGUGGAGAUAGUUGUUAGUAGAGAUAAAUUAUAGUGAUGGUUGUGGUUGAAGUGAUGGUAGAGGUGGCGUUAUUAGUGACAAUGGUAGUGGCGGCCAAAGAAUGUGUGGAGGUUGUGAUGUAUUAGUGAUAGGUAGCAGUUGUGCUAGUUGUGAUAGAUGAGUUGGUCGAUAGUAGGGAUUGACUGGUAGUGGUUGAUGAUGGUGGUGCUGUUGAUGGCGGCGGUGGUGGUGAAUAUAAUUAGAAUAAUAGAGGUAGUAGCUGUGGUAACAAUUGACAAUAGUGGUUGGUAGCAAUAUUUAUUAUCGAUGGUGGUUGUGAUGGUAAAUGUGGUUGGUGGCGGUGGUUGGUGAUUGAUAAUGGUGGAGGUGGCAGAGGUGGUUAGUGGUGGUAAUUGAUGAUUAUGAAUAGAGCGGCAGCGAAUAUUAUCUAACACCAGAAUACCUCUUCAGACUUGAUUCUAGAUCUGAAUGAUUAAGACCUAUUUAGUCCUAUUAAUAGCUAAAAUCUUGAUAAAAAAUAAAGACACUUAAUGGUCUGAAGUCUGAACCAUUUAGAUUCAGACCUCCAUUAAGUGCAAACAAAUGAGCCCCAAGUGUUUGAAAAAAAUUCCUCAAUCAAGAUUUCUAUUAGAUUUUUCUUACAUUAUUUUUCUGGUGAAUUUGUUGCUUCUCUUAGGCCUUUUAGUUGCAUAAUGAAAUCUUUAGUUAGUGAUGCUUUUAAUUAUAUUAUUUAUGCAUCUUCGUGGAAUUAAUUAGCACCUCCAUGUAUUUAUCAAUGGUAUUUGAUGCGAAUAGGUACAAAUUUUAGUUAGUUUUUUCCCUCCAAUCCAUAUUUGCCUUUUGUGCUUGGUUCACCACAUUAUGUUUUUGUCUCCCAUGCUCUGAAUGAAAAAAUAGAAGACGACAGUAUACCUUUAUAUUUUAUCCAUUUUCGACCCUUUUUACUUUAAUAAAUUAAUUAAUUAAUGUGAUAAUAACUAUCAAUCAUUGAAGUGAUGUAUGCAUCCUACAUGUCUGAUGAUAUGCCCACUCUUGAUUCUCUCUUGAUGGAAUUGAAAAUUCAGUUUCAUGAUUUGCAUAUAAUUAUCAUCAAAUGCAGUUGUCCCAUAAAAAAGACAGCAGGUUAAGAGUAUAAGAGGGUUCAAAUUUUAAAGUUCUCAAUACAGUGGUUUCAGAUUCUAUACGGUGGAAUUUUGUAACGCCUCGAGACUACUCCUUGGGAGUUACACGAUGCUUACGAUCUGGAAGGACAACAAGCUAACCCAUGACUAGUACAUGCUAUGAGCACUGAAUAAUAAUCAUGAAGUAUACGUGGAAGUAAAACUGAAAAUGCCAUAAGGUUCAUAAAACUGAAUCAAACUGUAUACAUCUGUAGAACAACUCUUAACUGAUAAUGUCUGAAAGCCUCUAAACAUCUAAAAUAAAAGAGUUGAUGGGACAGGCCCCAACUAACUCACAA